UGUCACAAAAGCUUGGUGCCUGGAG
RNAcentral lists this non-coding RNA (25 nucleotides) under Mus musculus (house mouse). The record is from RNAcentral. Lineage: Eukaryota; Metazoa; Chordata; Mammalia; Rodentia; Muridae.